Molecule: ribosomal RNA, 452 nt
Filed under: uncultured bacterium
Lineage: Bacteria
Description: bacterial SSU rRNA
Rfam family: Bacterial small subunit ribosomal RNA
Source: RNAcentral
AACGAACGCUGGCGGCAGGCUUAACACAUGCAAGUCGAACGGGUGUAGCAAUACAUCAGUGGCAGACGGGUGAGUAACACGUGGGAACCUUCCUCGUUGUACGGGACAACUCAGGGAAACUUGAGCUAAUACCGUAUACGUCCGAGAGGAGAAAGAUUUAUCGCAAUGAGACGGGCCCGCGUCGGAUUAGCUAGUUGGUGGGUGACGGCCUACCAAGGCGACGAUCCGUAGCUGAUCUGAGAGGAUGAUCAGCCACACUGGGACUGAGACACGGCCCAGACUCCUACGGGAGGCAGCAGUGGGGAAUCUUGGACAAUGGGCGCAAGCCUGAUCCAGCCAUGCCGCGUGAGUGAAGAAGGCCUUUAGGGUUGUAAAGCUCUUUUGCCAGGGACGAUAAUGACGGUACCUGGAGAAUAAGCCCCGGCAAACUUCGUGCCAGCCGCCGCAGUAAU